AUCUCUGCGCAGUGGCAGUAUCGUAGCCUAUGAGGUUUACCGAGGCGUGAUUAUUGCUAGUUGAAAACUUUACCCAAUACCCCGCCUAGACGACUUGAAAUAUAGUCGGCGACGGCAAUUUUUGACGGUCUCUAUGGAGA
This 140-nucleotide small nuclear RNA is filed under the name Scophthalmus maximus (turbot). RNAcentral describes it as "U4 spliceosomal RNA (ENSSMAG00000028034.1)". It matches the Rfam family "U4 spliceosomal RNA". From Rfam's summary of the family: U4 small nuclear RNA (U4 snRNA) is a component of the major U2-dependent spliceosome. The structure of U4 snRNA from yeast and human has been reported. U4 snRNA presents a k-turn RNA motif in the 5p-SL related to recognition of Snu13 protein. Lineage: Eukaryota; Metazoa; Chordata; Actinopteri; Pleuronectiformes; Scophthalmidae. The record is from RNAcentral.